Molecule: unclassified non-coding RNA, 880 nt
Filed under: Hevea brasiliensis (rubber tree)
Lineage: Eukaryota; Viridiplantae; Streptophyta; Magnoliopsida; Malpighiales; Euphorbiaceae
Source: RNAcentral
CCAAAUUUCAAUUCCCUUAUUCUUCUUCUUCUUCUCUCCAUUUUGUAGAGAAAGGGAUUCUAGAAUCUUCCAUUUCUGCAAUUCUUCUUCGAUCCUCCUUGCUCUCUUUCUCAUGGAUCCUCCUACCUCUUGGGAUUCCUUGCGAAAGCAGGCAAGGAAGCUUGAAGCUCAGCUGGAUGAGCAGAUGCAUUUGUAUCGUAGAUUUGUUUCAAACAAAAGUGGUAACGCUAAUGAUCAUGAUCUUGAAUCUAGUAUAGAUCAGCUGCUCAAGCAACUUCAACAAGUAAAUUCACAAAUGCAAGCAUGGGUUUCAUCGGGAGGAUCUGAGAUCUUCUCUCAUACACUGACUCGCCAUCAAGAAAUUCUUCAAGAUCUUUUUCAGGAGUUUAACCGGAUCCGUUCAAGUUACAGAGCCAAGAAAGAGCAUGCUUCAUUGCUUGAAGAUUUUAGAGAGUUCGACCGGACCAGGUUAGAUCUGGAAGAUGGUAGUGGGUCUCAUGACCAAGCACUCCUUAACGAACGUGCUACUCUCCAUAGGACUACUGGACAGAUGGAUGGUGUGAUUUCUCAAGCUCAAGAAACAAUAAAGACACUUAUGUUUCAAAGAUCAACAUUUGGUGGCAUUAAUUCAAAACUCAGCAAUAUCAGCAGUCGCCUCCCAACGGUUAACCAUAUUCUUUCAGCAAUAAAGAAGAAAAAGUCUAUGGAUACGAUCAUUCUUUCAUUAGUUGCCUCUGUAUGCAUGUUUCUCAUUUUGGUUUACUGGAUGACGAAAUGAGACAGUAAUUAAUUGGACUCCUGAUGGAGCUUUGAGCACCAUCUUUGCUUGUUUGUAUCUUUUUGUAUAUUCACCAGUGAAUUUUGUGACUCUUCAUUUUUA